RNAcentral lists this ribosomal RNA (579 nucleotides) under Depastromorpha sp. AUS. Its description in RNAcentral is "partial 16S ribosomal RNA". It matches the Rfam family "Bacterial large subunit ribosomal RNA", at positions 1841 to 2566 of the family's 2925-position model. The record is from RNAcentral. Lineage: Eukaryota; Metazoa; Cnidaria; Staurozoa; Stauromedusae; Haliclystidae.
CUCUAUUAAGGGUGAUGCCUGCCCAAUGAUUCAUCCUAAAUUUGACACCCCAAAUGAACCUGAAUUCAAUGGCCGCGGUAUUUCUGACCGUGAUAAUGUAGCGAAAUCAAUCGUCACUUAAUUGCUGACCUGUAUCAAAGGUAAUACGAAUGUCCCCCUGUCUCUGGAAAAAUACCCGUGAAAUUGAAGAAACCGUGCAUAUGCGGUUCAUUAGCUGUAAGACGAAAAGACCCUAUUGAGCUUUACUAUACGCUUUCCUACACAUUCUUAUCGUUUAAACAACUUUUAACCGAUGGAAACAUGAAAAGUGAGGUAGUUUCGUUGGGGCGACGACCUCUUAAAAAGUAACAGAGGUUAACAAAGGUUAUUUUUUAAUGAAAACCGCUUGACUGUUUGACCAAUACGUCUAACAGACACAAUCGUGGGUCAUAAUUUUCCACUGAAAAGGAAACUUCUCAGUGCCAAAACAUAAAAGUUACCAUAGGGAUAACAGCGUAAUUUUGUCGAAGAGUUCUUAUCGAUGACAAAGAUUGCGACCUCGAUGUUGAAUUGCGGUAUCCUGGGGGUGCAGCCGCUCCC